GCCCGGCCCGGCCUUCGCACUCGGGGAGCUUGAGGGCAGGACCAGCGGAAGGGAGCACGGCGCCUUGCUGAGGAGCACGGAGUUGCUACCCCUUUGGAAAUUUUGAAUGGAGGCUUGGACCCCUUUGAAUUGUGGUGCUGGGGAGAAAAGGGCUCUACCUGUUUGCUCUUGAUCUCCCCUGAUGAGUUUGUAGGCAGCCACCAGGUCCCCCCUCAGCCUCCUCUUGCUGAGCCUGAACAGGUUCAGGUCCUUCAGUCUCUCCUCGUAGGACCUGUCGGGCUGCCCUCUCACCAAGUGGGUGGCCCUCCUCUGAACCCUCUCCAGGCUGGCCACAUCCCUUUUGAAGUGCGCCGCCCAGUACUGGAUGCAGUACCCCAACUGCGGCCUGACCAAAGAUGCAUAGAGGGGGAGUAUCACCUCUCUGGACUGGCUUGAGAUGGACCUUUGGAUGCACCUUUGGAUGCAUGACAAGGGAGAAUACAAGUUUGUAAACUACCUGAGCAUGAUGUCAGACUUGUCUACUUCGCCUUUUGCAUGUUGGGAGGAAAUUCAUUUAACCUGAAGAUAAAUUACAGUAUUGGGAUCAAAGCAAAAACACACAGGUAGAGUGGCCACUGACACAUCCCCAGAAUACAGGACAUCCUCUUGGUAAGGUGUGGGACCACUGGCCCUCUCAACCAAUCAGCGAUGAGGGGCAGGGCUGAUACCUCCUUGGCCAAUCAGCAGCAAGGGGUGGGGCUACCACAAAAAGGCAGAAAAUUGUACCAGCCUUGACUUAUUGCUCACCAUAUUAUAAAAUAUUAAUUCUUUUUCAUUUUGCACUUUUAUAGACAUUUAAUCCAAACAGUAGCAAUUUUGUUCAUGAGUACCAAAUUAAUAAAAAUAAUUAUUAUAACUUUA
This is a long non-coding RNA of Alligator mississippiensis (American alligator), 900 nucleotides long. RefSeq lists it as uncharacterized. The record is from RefSeq and is a predicted model, not a curated record. NCBI's taxonomy places the organism in Eukaryota, Metazoa, Chordata, Crocodylia, Alligatoridae. The transcript has 5 exons.